CAUACACGCGCGCAGCCUGAUGCAGCAUGCCGCGUGAGUGAUGAAGGCCUUCGGGUUGUAAAGCUCUUUUGUCCGGAAAGAAAUCGACGUUACUAGUAUUAGGUGCGCAUGACGGUUCCGGGCCAAUAAGGCCCGGGUAAUAACAUGCCAGCAGCCGCGGUAAUAA
This 166-nucleotide ribosomal RNA is filed under the name uncultured bacterium. Its description in RNAcentral is "partial 16S ribosomal RNA". It matches the Rfam family "Bacterial small subunit ribosomal RNA", at positions 367 to 526 of the family's 1533-position model. The record is from RNAcentral.